AUUGAACGCUGGCGGCAGGCCUAACACAUGCAAGUCGAGCGGAUGAAGGGAGCUUGCUCCUGGAUUCAGCGUCGGACGGGUGAGUAAUGCCUAGGAAUCUGCCUGGUAGUGGGGGAUAACGUCCGGAAACGGGCGCUAAUACCGCAUACGUCCUGAGGGAGAAAGUGGGGGAUCUUCGGACCUCACGCUAUCAGAUGGGCCUAGGUCGGAUUAGCUAGUUUGUGGGGUAAAGGCCUACCAAGGCGACGAUCCGUAACUGGUCUGAGAGGAUGAUCAGUCACACUGGAACUGAGACACGGUCCAGACUACUAAGGUAGGCAGCAGUGGGGAAUAUUGGACAGUGGGCGAAAGUCUGAUACAGCCAUGCGGCGUGUGUGAAGAAGGUCUUCGGAUCGUAAAGCACGUUAAGUUGGGAGGAAGGGCAGUAAGUUAAGACCUUGCUGUUUUGACGUUACUAACAGAAUAAGCACCGGCUAACUACGUG
RNAcentral lists this ribosomal RNA (484 nucleotides) under uncultured bacterium. Its description in RNAcentral is "partial 16S ribosomal RNA". It matches the Rfam family "Bacterial small subunit ribosomal RNA", at positions 30 to 507 of the family's 1533-position model. The record is from RNAcentral.